AUGGUCUGGGGACUCGACAUGGUGGGGCCCUUCAAAACCGCUCGAGGCGGCAUGACGCAUUUGCUGGUGGCGGUGGACAAGUUCACCAAAUGGAUCGAAGCAAGGCUAAUCAAGAAACUGGACGGGCCAACGGGCGUCCGAUUCGUCAAGGACAUCGCGGUGCGCUACGACAUGCCAAACAGCAUCAUCACAGACAACGACACCAACUUCGCCAAGGGCGCGCUCGCGCAAUACUGCUCCGUCUCUGGCAUCCGCCUCGACCUGGCUUCCGUUGCACACCCGCAGUCCAACGGCCAGGUCGAGCAGGCCAAUGGCCUCAUCCUAUUCGGCAUCAAGCCGCGGCUCGUCGAGCCACUCAUCCGUUCACCCGACAGCUAG
This 378-nucleotide ribosomal RNA is filed under the name Triticum aestivum (bread wheat). RNAcentral's name for it is "partial small subunit ribosomal RNA". The record is from RNAcentral. Lineage: Eukaryota; Viridiplantae; Streptophyta; Magnoliopsida; Poales; Poaceae.